ACAUGUAGGCCGCUGAUGCUUUUGGCUAAGAGCAAGUGUAGUAUCUGUUCUUAUAAGUUUAAUAUCUGAUAGGCUCCCUACCUGGGGUCCAUAUAUUAAAUGGAUUUUUAGAAAAUGGAGAUGGGAAAAGAGCUUGCUCUGUCCACUCCACGCUUUGACCAAGUAUUGAAGUACUUCCAGGACCGGUGCACCUUUC
Pseudophryne corroboree (corroboree frog) is the source of this 196-nucleotide small nuclear RNA. RefSeq annotates it as U2 spliceosomal RNA. The transcript has a single exon. Lineage: Eukaryota; Metazoa; Chordata; Amphibia; Anura; Myobatrachidae. The record is from RefSeq and is a predicted model, not a curated record.